Dreissena polymorpha is the source of this 1721-nucleotide RNA transcript. RefSeq lists it as uncharacterized. The record is from RefSeq and is a predicted model, not a curated record. The transcript is spliced from 6 exons. NCBI's taxonomy places the organism in Eukaryota, Metazoa, Mollusca, Bivalvia, Myida, Dreissenidae.
UCGAACGUCAACUUAACAACUGACUCAGUAAAACAGACCAAUGGCAGCCAUCUUGGAUUUAAAAUAUGAAUUAAACAUAAAGCGCAUUUAAGUUCUGACAUUUACAAGAGCGGUGUAUAAUACCAUGAAAUGAUGUGGGCGUUUUCUAUUCGUUGCCGACAUCCUUGACUUGGAAAAUAUUCAACCGUUACGAACACAGGAAGUAAGAUGGCUGACGGCUGACAAAAAUGUGAUUUCACUCAAAGGAGUUUUACGAUUUCUAAAUGGAUAAUGACAUCUUAUGCAAAAAGGAACAAACAUAUAAAGAGACUAAGUAGAAAUUGAUUACAUGCAAUGGAUAUUACCAUUCACAAACGUGAGUAAGAAGUUGAAUACAUGCUUUAAGGAUCAGCGGUGGGUGCCUGUUUAAGAUGACAAAACAACAACAUCAAAAAGGUCAAGAGAUUAAACAGCAACUCGGUAUGGGAUAUGAACAGCAGAAUGGCUCUCAAAAUCCUUCAACUCGAGCGAGGACUGUUAAAAAGCUGCGUCAUUAUGUGCGCCAUUCUAUCAUGAAUAUCUGCUUGAUUUACCCGUCAAUGAUUGCUGUCGGGAGCCUAUAUAAUCAGGGUACAGGAUCACGUGACUUGGUGGGGUUCACAAUUUAACUACAAUAGAUGUAAAUACACCGUCGCUGCAAAUGUUCUUGCUGACAGGCGUUUACUGGAUCGUGUGGACGCCUUACGCAGUUGUCUCUUUCAUCCAGACGUUUGGCAACACGGACAUCGUGUCGCUUUGGAUGGCGGUGCUUCCGGUGCGGCGGCUAAGUCCCAGGUGGUCUGGAACCCCAUCAUCUACGUCGGCACAAAUAAGAAAUUCAGGAUGGCAUUUUACCAGAGCCUGCCAUGUACCAGGUUGAGAUACUGGUUUGAGGUUCGAGAAGAGGAAAUUGUGUCUGAAGAUACGAAACCGGAUGACACGCCUGGUCAGUCCGCACUCAGGGCAAGUCAGCAAUCGGCAUCCACUGUUAUUCCUCCAGCAACUAACAAGGUCGACACUACCAUAGUAUGUACCACUGACGUGUAGAUGAACAAACUGCACAGCGGUAGUCUCCCCUGGACCUGCACGUUAAGAAUCUAUACCAAAUAUACCUUGAAGGGAGAAUCUCCACUGAUCCUGUACCACGAACAUCAAGCCCACAUACAACUCGAAGCGGUUUUCAUUUGAAGAGAUUCGUUUUGGCCGUUGUGCUAUGACGGUCUGAAGGCUAAUAAUCACCUGAUCACUUAUGGUGUCCAAAUACAAGAUAAUACAUGUAUUUAAAAGUAAACGGUAACCGAUAAUGAACAAUUGAUAACUAACUAUUGAAAACUACUUCAUUUGAUCGAUUUCUUAUUAUUCGAGCCGAAAAACAACGAACGGUCUUCUUUAAGAUUGAAUUGGAUGUAGCUAGAAAGAGAUUGCAUUAUAUAUAGCUGACCAAAGAUGGAUGUACAUGUAGCUAGACAUAUCGAUAUUUACGAGCCUGCAUAAUCGCUUUACUUCUUACUUUGGACGCAUCUCUUGGGUUGAUUUGUUUAUAUAUUUAUGUUAUGCAUUGCUGUUUAUCACCCCUGUUAUUUGAAAUGCGGGCAUAUAUAUGUAUGCAUAUGCUAUGUUUGUAAGUUUCAAAUGCUUUGUUUCUAACCUAAAAUAAAAACAAGAGCUGUGUUCUUGAAACACAAUGCCCCAUACUGUACUUA